RNAcentral lists this ribosomal RNA (266 nucleotides) under uncultured bacterium. Its description in RNAcentral is "partial 16S ribosomal RNA". It matches the Rfam family "Bacterial small subunit ribosomal RNA", at positions 793 to 1055 of the family's 1533-position model. The record is from RNAcentral.
GUCCACGCCCUAAACGAUGUCAACUGGUUGUUGGGGAAGGCAACUUCCUUAGUAACGAAGCUAACGCGUGAAGUUGACCGCCUGGGGAGUACGGCCGCAAGGUUAAAACUCAAAGGAAUUGACGGGGACCCGCACAAGCGGUGGAUGAUGUGGAUUAAUUCGAUGCAACGCGAAGAACCUUACCUACCCUUGACAUGUACGGAAGCCUGCUGAGAGGUGGGUGUGCCCGAAAGGGAGCCGUAACACAGGUGCUGCAUGGCUGUCGU